Molecule: ribosomal RNA, 426 nt
Filed under: uncultured bacterium
Lineage: Bacteria
Description: bacterial SSU rRNA
Rfam family: Bacterial small subunit ribosomal RNA
Source: RNAcentral
AGGGAAUAUUGGACAAUGGGGGCAACCCUGAUCCAGCAAUGCCGCGUGUGUGAAGAAGGCCUUCGGGUUGUAAAGCACUUUUGUCCGGAAAGAAAUCCGCCUGGCUAAUACCCGGGCGGGAUGACGGUACCGGAAGAAUAAGCACCGGCUAACUACGUGCCAGCAGCCGCGGUAAUACGUAGGGUGCGCGCGUUAAUCGGGAUUACUGGGCGUAAAGCGUGCGCAGGCGGUUAUGCAAGACAGGUGUGAAAUCCCCGGGCUCAACCUGGGAACUGCACUUGUGACUGCAUGACUAGAGUGCGUCAGAGGGAGGUGGAAUUCCGCGUGUAUCAGUGAAAUGCGUAGAGAUGCGGAGGAACACCGAUGGCGAAGGCAGCCUCCUGGGAUGACACUGACGCUCAUGCACGAAAGCGUGGGGAGCAAACA